GACGAACGCUGGCGGCGUGCUUAACACAUGCAAGUCGAACGGAAAGGCCCUGCUUUUGUGGGGUGCUCGAGUGGCGAACGGGUGAGUAACACGUGAGUAACCUGCCCUUGACUUUGGGAUAACUUCAGGAAACUGGGGCUAAUACCGGAUAGGAGCUCCUGCUGCAUGGUGGGGGUUGGAAAGUUUCGGCGGUUGGGGAUGGACUCGCGGCUUAUCAGCUUGUUGGUGGGGUAGUGGCUUACCAAGGCUUUGACGGGUAGCCGGCCUGAGAGGGUGACCGGCCACAUUGGGACUGAGAUACGGCCCAGACUCCUACGGGAGGCAGCAGUGGGGAAUAUUGCACAAUGGGCGGAAGCGUGAUGCAGCAACGCCGCGUGCGGGAUGACGGCCUUCGGGUUGUAAACCGCUUUAGCCUGUGACGAAGCGUGAGUGACGGUAAUGGGUAAAGAAGCACCGGCUAACUACGUG
RNAcentral lists this ribosomal RNA (468 nucleotides) under uncultured bacterium. RNAcentral's name for it is "partial 16S ribosomal RNA". It matches the Rfam family "Bacterial small subunit ribosomal RNA", at positions 28 to 507 of the family's 1533-position model. The record is from RNAcentral.